AUUCCAGCUCCAAUAGCGUAUAUUAAUGUUGUUGCAGUUAAAAAGCUCGUAGUUGGAUUUCUGGUUGGACCGCGAUGCCGGACUCGCAAGGGUUCGUGAUUGUUGUGGUUUCCUUCCAUCCUCAGGUUUGCGCGUGCUGGCCUUAACUGGUCGGUGGGUGUGGUCCUGUCGUUUACUGUGAACAAAUUAGAGUGUUCAAAGCAAGGUGUACUUGAAUACAUUAGCAUGGAAUAAUAAGAUAGGACUUUGGUGGUUCUUUCGAGAUAUUUUGUUGGUUUGCACGCCAAAGUAAUGAUUAAUAGGAGCAGUUGGGGGUAUUCGUAUUCAAUUGUCAGAGGUGAAAUUCUUGGAUUUAUAGAAGACGAACUACUGCGAAAGCAUUUACCAAGGAUGUUUUCAUCA
Molecule: ribosomal RNA, 402 nt
Filed under: Pedinellales sp.
Lineage: Eukaryota; Dictyochophyceae; Pedinellales
Description: partial small subunit ribosomal RNA
Rfam family: Eukaryotic small subunit ribosomal RNA
Source: RNAcentral